This is a long non-coding RNA of Heterocephalus glaber (naked mole-rat), 862 nucleotides long. The record is from Ensembl. Lineage: Eukaryota; Metazoa; Chordata; Mammalia; Rodentia; Bathyergidae.
GUUCAGCCCCUGAUUGGUGUGUCACAAACUGAAAGGUGAGAUUUAGGGACAGAUUGAGCCACGGGAGACAUUCUGAAACAGAAAGGAAGAAAAAGAAAGUGAAGAGAAAGGAAAUAAUUUACAAAUCUAAAUUACACACGGGCCUUCAACCACAGCUGGCAAGUAGGUCCUAGUGUUCUUCAAUUAACACUUGAUCUAAUGGAAACUUUGUGAAGCCCACCCUGCAGGAGGUUGAGACUUGGGUGAAGAAGUGAUAGAAUAAAAUUGCUGACAGCUACGUAACCAAUGCAUUAUAAGUGCACCACAUGGACAGAAGCAUUCAUGUUUGAUGUAAAAAUAAAAUGGGCAAGCAGAUGUGAAAGCUGUAAAAUGUGUUGCACCUGAGAAGAAAUAUUCUCCAAUUAGUAGUAAAGAAGACUCUGCCUUGCAGGCAACUGGGGAAAUGCCCACUCCCCUUUUGGGCCCCUCCACUGAAAUCUGGUAAUAAGUCAUAACAGCUCAAUCUUGUUGCUAUAUUUCACAUCCUAAAUUCAAGCUGACCUUCUGAGAAGGAUUGUAAGGUGAAUCAGGUUCAGCCUUGUUGUUUUACAGAUGAAGACUGAGGCCCAAGUUCUCAAGGCUGAGAAGUCCUAGAUCAAGGUGCCAGCAAAUUCAAUGUCCAGUAAGGACCAGUUUUCUGGGUCCUAAAAACCUCUUCUUGCUGCAUCCACAGGAGAUCUUUGAAGUCAGCAAUCAAGAGGGAGCUAGCCACAUGUACAGAACAGCCUUGGUUUUAAACUCAGCUCUUGCUUUGUUUGCACAUUGUUUCUUCCUCUAAACAUUGGCUAAAUGUGGUUAGGAACAUCUACCUUGGAAGAAUGUU